AUUGAACGCUGGCGGCAGGCCUAACACAUGCAAGUCGAGCUCGCGGCGGACGGGUGAGUAAUGUAUGGGGACUGCCCGUUCGCGAGGGAUCACUCCUGGAAACGGUGGCUAAUCCCGCAUCAUGUCGGAUAACCCAUAUGGGAUUAGCUAGUAGGUCAGGGAAUGGCUUACCUAGGCGACGAUCCCUAGUUGGUCUGAGAGGAUGAUCAGCCACACUGGGACUGAGACACGGCCCAGACUCCUACGGAGGCAGCAGUGGGGAAUAGUGCACAAUGGGCGCAAGCCUGAUGCAGCAAUGCCGCGGGUAUGAAGAAGGCCCUAGGGUUGUAAAGUACUUUCAGUAGGGAGGCGUUACCGACAGAAGAAGCACCGGCUAACUCCGUGCCAGCCGCCGCGGUAAUAC
This 403-nucleotide ribosomal RNA is filed under the name uncultured bacterium. RNAcentral describes it as "partial 16S ribosomal RNA". It matches the Rfam family "Bacterial small subunit ribosomal RNA", at positions 30 to 526 of the family's 1533-position model. The record is from RNAcentral.